GUGCUAGCUUUGGCAGCACAUAUUCUAAAAUAGGAACGAUACAGAAAAGAUGAGAAUGGUCCGUGUGCAAGGUUGACAUGCCAAUUUGUGAAGCAUUCCAAGUUUUU
Small nuclear RNA from Myotis lucifugus (little brown bat), 107 nucleotides. Lineage: Eukaryota; Metazoa; Chordata; Mammalia; Chiroptera; Vespertilionidae. The record is from Ensembl.